RNAcentral lists this ribosomal RNA (497 nucleotides) under uncultured bacterium. Its description in RNAcentral is "partial 16S ribosomal RNA". It matches the Rfam family "Bacterial small subunit ribosomal RNA", at positions 28 to 507 of the family's 1533-position model. The record is from RNAcentral.
GAUGAACGCUGGCGGCGUGCCUAAUACAUGCAAGUCGAGCGAACAGACGAGGAGCUUGCUCCUCUGACGUUAGCGGCGGACGGGUGAGUAACACGUGGAUAACCUACCUAUAAGACUGGGAUAACUUCGGGAAACCGGAGCUAAUACCGGAUAAUAUAUUGAACCGCAUGGUUCAAUAGUGAAAGACGGUUUUGCUGUCACUUAUAGAUGGAUCCGCGCCGCAUUAGCUAGUUGGUAAGGUAACGGCUUACCAAGGCAACGAUGCGUAGCCGACCUGAGAGGGGGAGCGGCGGCGCGGGAAGGGAGAGGGGGUGCAGAGGCCUGGGGGAGGCAGGAGUAGGGAAUCGUCCGCAAGGGGCGAAAGGCUGACGGAGCAACGCCGCGUGAGUGAUGAAGGUCUUCGGAUCGUAAAACUCUGUUAUUAGGGAAGAACAAAUGUGUAAGUAACUAUGCACGUCUUGACGGUACCUAAUCAGAAAGCCACGGCUAACUACGUG